RNAcentral lists this ribosomal RNA (427 nucleotides) under Staphylococcus aureus. Its description in RNAcentral is "bacterial SSU rRNA". It matches the Rfam family "Bacterial small subunit ribosomal RNA", at positions 296 to 715 of the family's 1533-position model. The record is from RNAcentral. Lineage: Bacteria; Bacillati; Bacillota; Bacilli; Caryophanales; Staphylococcaceae.
GAGGGUGAUCGGCCACACUGGAACUGAGACACGGUCCAGACUCCUACGGGAGGCAGCAGUAGGGAAUCUUCCGCAAUGGGCGAAAGCCUGACGGAGCAACGCCGCGUGAGUGAUGAAGGUCUUCGGAUCGUAAAACUCUGUUAUUAGGGAAGAACAUAUGUGUAAGUAACUGUGCACAUCUUGACGGUACCUAAUCAGAAAGCCACGGCUAACUACGUGCCAGCAGCCGCGGUAAUACGUAGGUGGCAAGCGUUAUCCGGAAUUAUUGGGCGUAAAGCGCGCGUAGGCGGUUUUUUAAGUCUGAUGUGAAAGCCCACGGCUCAACCGUGGAGGGUCAUUGGAAACUGGAAAACUUGAGUGCAGAAGAGGAAAGUGGAAUUCCAUGUGUAGCGGUGAAAUGCGCAGAGAUAUGGAGGAACACCAGUGG